AUGGAGAGGGUUACUCCGCAAUGCGUUGAGAACCGAAACCUCGUAAGAGCCCUACCAGAAGACUUAUCUUGUGAACAAUUAUCGGAUUGCACUGAGCCAACAGCUACUGUGACUAUCUAUCAACCUGAAAAUACCAUCAAUGAGUGUGAUGUAGACCGUUCUCCACAACCCCCUUUUCAGUGGGCAGGCAGACGACCAGACACCUAGCCACAUCCCAUUCAGGGCCAAACAGAGGAUUGCAAAUCCCUGUAAUCUGUGGGAGGGGGAAGUUUAGGCCGCAAGCCAUAUGUGAGAGGGAGGCUGAGUCACUUGAAGACUCGACCCUCCUCUGACCUGUGUGCUAUCCCUAGGCACAUCGGCGACAGGGCUUCAAAUAGCUCCCCUCCUACUCUGGUGCUGGUGAAUGCUAGGUCAGUGCGGAAUAAGAUCAAUACCAUCAGGGACUUCAUUAUUGAAAGUGGGGCUGACUUAGCAUGUAUCACAGAAACCUGGUUGCAGGAGGGCGAUGAGGUCCUCCUCCGGGAAUUAUCAUCUCCAGAUUUUGUUAUCACCCACCAGAUGUGGACCGGGAGACGGGGGUGGGGGGGUGGGGGGUGGAGUGGCAAUGCUCGCACGAGAAAAUUUAUCUCUGAGGGCGGCUCCCACUCUGAACAUCUCUGGUAUGGAAAGCGUUGGCCUUGUGUGGGAUUCAGAGGAGAGUAUAGCCUUUCUACUGGUGUACCGUGCGCCUAAUGCACCAGUGGACAGCCUAUCACAGCUGCUAGAGGUUGUGUCGGAGUGGGCCUUGAGGUUCCCCAGGCUUAUUGUUUUGGGGGACUUCAAUGUCCAUGCUGAUGCAGGCUCCUUCUCCUCAGCAGCUGAAGACCUAGUGUCGACCAUGGCGACACUAGGACUCUCACUUUAUAAUACUGGGCCUACACAUCAGGCUGGCCACACACUAGAUUUGAUCUUUGGGGUUGGAAUCCAAGUGACCCUAACCUCCGUUUUGGAGGUUCCAUGGUCGGACCACUGCGCCCUAGAAAUCCGUAUAGAGCACACCAACCCACCCAACCUGGGCGCCGAACCUAUCUGGGUUCGCCCGAAGAGACUAAUGGAACCGGUCAGGUUCCUGAAUGCUCUAAAGGCCAUAGAACCUGUCAGCGACUCACUGGAGGUGCAAGUGGAUACAUGGAACACCAAAUUAUCCAAUGCACUCGAUGAGAUUGCACCUAGACACCUUCUCCGACCCCGUAAGAAUCAGUCUCCUUGGUUCACUGAGGAGCUCCGUGCGAUGAAACGGGAGAAGAGACAGCUAGAGGUCAUGUGGCGGGAACGCCGUGAUGAGGAAUCGGAAUCAGCUUAUAAGAAGUCCAGAGAGUCUUAUGAGCAGACUAUCACCGAGGCAAAAAAGUCGUAUUAUGCUUCCUUGAUAGCGUCUGCGAGCUCACACCCAGCACAAUUAUUUAAGAUCAUUAGAUCCCUGACAAAGGUCCCUUCUAUUCCAAACAAUAAUGACCUGGCUCCUUCUGCUGAGGUUUUCCAGAGCUAUUUUGCAGACAAGAUCUCGCUUCUUCGCCGGGAACUCCCUGCCACGAUGGAUACAGUAACUGAACUUGAGAUUCCGUGGCCACUCUCUGAGCCCAUCCUGGACCGGUUUACCCCGCUGGAUGCAGAGGCUGUCGACAGGAUCAUGACUGCAGCUAGGCCUACCACCUGCUCCCUCGAUCCGUGUCCCUCCUGGCUAGUAAAAUCCUGCCUAGAUGGAUUACGUGAACCUCUGUUGAAUAUA
This is a long non-coding RNA of Anolis carolinensis (green anole), 1768 nucleotides long. NCBI's taxonomy places the organism in Eukaryota, Metazoa, Chordata, Lepidosauria, Squamata, Anolidae. The record is from Ensembl.